UUGCACUGUCCGUAACCUGUUAACAGUAUUUUUCUGAUAAUGGGUUCCAUUCCGGUGCUACAUGAUACCCCAAGAUAAUAGAAGGCUGGCUGUUUGUUUGCCUGUCCCCUUUAUUUUGGGGGACAUAA
This 128-nucleotide small nucleolar RNA is filed under the name Cariama cristata (Red-legged seriema). The record is from RNAcentral. Lineage: Eukaryota; Metazoa; Chordata; Aves; Cariamiformes; Cariamidae.